CCUUUUGCCUGAUUCCAGGCUGAGGUAGUAGUUUGUACAGUUUGAGGGUCUAUGAUACCACCCGGUACAGGAGAUAACUGUACAGGCCACUGCCUUGCCGGGAACAG
Bison bison bison is the source of this 107-nucleotide microRNA precursor. Ensembl annotates it as microRNA let-7g. NCBI's taxonomy places the organism in Eukaryota, Metazoa, Chordata, Mammalia, Artiodactyla, Bovidae. The record is from Ensembl.